UACGUAGGGUGCGAGCGUUGUCCGGAAUUAUUGGGCGUAAAGAGCUCGUAGGCGGUCUGUCACGUCGGCUGUGAAAACCCGGAGCUCAACUCCGGGCCUGCAGUCGAUACGGGCAAACUGGAGUGUUGCAGGGGAGACUGGAAUUCCCAGUGUAGCGGUGAAAUGCGUAGAUAUUGGGAGGAACACCAGUGGCGAAGGCGGCUCACUGGACCGGAACUGACGCUGAGGCGCGAAAGCGUGGGGAGCAAACAGG
This 253-nucleotide ribosomal RNA is filed under the name uncultured bacterium. RNAcentral describes it as "partial 16S ribosomal RNA". It matches the Rfam family "Bacterial small subunit ribosomal RNA", at positions 524 to 776 of the family's 1533-position model. The record is from RNAcentral.